AUACGUAGGGUGCAAGCGUUAAUCGGAAUUACUGGGCGUAAAGCGUGCGCAGGCGGUUUUGUAAGGCAGAGGUGAAAUCCCCGGGCUCAAACUGGGAACUGCCUUUGGGACUGCAAGGCUAGAGUACGGCAGAGGGGGAUGGAAUUCCGCGUGUAGCAGUGAAAUGCGUAGAUAUGCGGAGGAACACCGAUGGCGAAGGCAAUCCCCUGGGCCUGUACUGACGCUCAUGCACGAAAGCGUGGGGAGCAAACAGGAUUAGAUACCCUGGUAGUCCACGCCCUAAACGAUGUCAACUGGUUGUUGGGUCUUCAUUGACUCAGUAACGAAGCUAACGCGUGAAGUUGACCGCCUGGGGAGUACGGCCGCAAGGUUGAAACUCAAAUGAAUUGACAGUG
RNAcentral lists this ribosomal RNA (395 nucleotides) under uncultured bacterium. RNAcentral describes it as "partial 16S ribosomal RNA". It matches the Rfam family "Bacterial small subunit ribosomal RNA", at positions 523 to 918 of the family's 1533-position model. The record is from RNAcentral.